GGAUUGAUGAAGAGAACAACUGUCUGAAGAUUCUGAGGGACUCAGUCUAAUGGUAAUCUGAGGUCC
Nannospalax galili (Upper Galilee mountains blind mole rat) is the source of this 66-nucleotide small nucleolar RNA. RefSeq annotates it as small nucleolar RNA SNORD109A. Lineage: Eukaryota; Metazoa; Chordata; Mammalia; Rodentia; Spalacidae. The record is from RefSeq and is a predicted model, not a curated record. The transcript has a single exon.